Molecule: unclassified non-coding RNA, 1203 nt
Filed under: Owenia fusiformis
Lineage: Eukaryota; Metazoa; Annelida; Polychaeta; Sabellida; Oweniidae
Description: misc RNA OFUS_LOCUS24156
Source: RNAcentral
UGUUGUUUACAAAUGGCGGACGGAGAACAUUUUCAAAACCUUUCAAAUUUCCAACAAGAUUUGUCGCUAGCUGCUGCAAAUGGCGAUAUUACGUUGCUAAGGAGAUUGCUUGAGAAAGGAUGUGAUCCCAAUAAGAAAUCUGCAGAUGGCAUGUCUCCACUUGCAAUAGCAGCAUUCUGGGGAUAUGCUGAAAUAGCACAGGUUCUGCUUGAAGAUGGUGCUGAUGUAAAUGCAACAAAUGGUGGCACGUUAUGGACACCUCUCCAUUGUGCUGCAUUCCAAGGUCACGGCAAAGUCAUAAUGAGGUUAAUGGAGAAACAGCCCAACCUAACUCUGAGGGACAAUAAUGAACGCACGGCAGCAGAUUUUGCCUCUGCUCUCGACUCAAUCUGGUCAUUUUUUGCAGCCGCAGGAUGUGAAAGAACACCAAAGGCUGAUCUAAUAAAAUUAAAUAUUGUACAAAAAGUUAAAACGGAGGAUCCUGGCUUAUCCAGGUCAGACUAUGCCCACUUUUCCCGUCCUGGCUCUGCCUACGCCAUGAGGCCACAACCAAUGAGAGGCUACUCAGAUCCAAAUAUGGAGGUGGCUUCAAUCACGGGAGAUGUCCUUGCUUCUAUGCCAGAAGAACCAGAAACAAAAAACAGUGACAGUCCAAAUAUAUUGCAUAUGUGGAACAAUUGACACCAGCUAGACAUUAGCAGAACAAUUGACACCAGCUAAACAUCAGCUGAACAAUUGACACCAGCUAGACAUUAGCGGAACAAUUGACACCUGCUGAAACAUUAUGUUGGAAUGAUAGAAUGUUGAGAUAAGCUGGAGAUUACAACAUUAUGUUGGAAGGUGGACAGACACUAGCUAAAUAUAACAAUCUAAAGUUGGAGAGUUGAGACAAGCUUAACAUUCUGACAAUUUGUCAGACAUCUAACACUAUUGUAACAGUGCUACAUAACAAGAUACCCACUUGAGUACACUAAACUUAUAUGUGCUGAAUGGUUAUGUGUGGUACAGGCUGGGUGCUUUAUAAUUGUUGAAAUUCAAACAUUCCAAAACAUUCAAACAUUGUUGAAAUUCAAACAUUCCAAAACAUUAAAACAUUGUUGAAAUUCAAAAAUUCAAAAACAUUCAAACAUUGUUGAAAUUCAAACAUUCCAAAACAAUCAAACAUUGUAGAAAUUCAAUGAUUCCAAAACAUUCAAACAUUGU